This 429-nucleotide ribosomal RNA is filed under the name Gemmatimonadota bacterium. Its description in RNAcentral is "Gemmatimonadetes bacterium partial 16S ribosomal RNA". It matches the Rfam family "Bacterial small subunit ribosomal RNA", at positions 355 to 776 of the family's 1533-position model. Lineage: Bacteria; Pseudomonadati; Gemmatimonadota. The record is from RNAcentral.
UAGGGAAUCUUCGGCAAUGGACGAAAGUCUGACCGAGCAACGCCGCGUGAGUGAAGAAGGUUUUCGGAUCGUAAAACUCUGUUGUUAGAGAAGAACAAGGACGUUAGUAACUGAACGUCCCCUGACGGUAUCUAACCAGAAAGCCACGGCUAACUACGUGCCAGCAGCCGCGGUAAUACGUAGGUGGCAAGCGUUGUCCGGAUUUAUUGGGCGUAAAGCGAGCGCAGGCGGUUUCUUAAGUCUGAUGUGAAAGCCCCCGGCUCAACCGGGGAGGGUCAUUGGAAACUGGGAGACUUGAGUGCAGAAGAGGAGAGUGGAAUUCCAUGUGUAGCGGUGAAAUGCGUAGAUAUAUGGAGGAACACCAGUAGCGAAGGCGGCUCUCUGGUCUGUAACUGACGCUGUGGCUCGAAAGCGUGGGGAGCAAACAGG